GAUCAGUUCUGAUCAAAUUAGACGAGAGAUUAAAAUAGGUUGACUUUGUUUAUGCCAUAAUGUAAUUAAGUGACUUGCUGUAAAUAUUUGUGAAACUUUUGUGUUAGUCAAUUUGGUUUUAUGGAAACGCAUUAUCCUCGAACUUUGAAGAACAUUAGAAGAACGUACGCUUGUGAGAAUUUUUUAUGAAUAGAAACCUGAGAUGACUGUGAGAUGUGAUAAAAGACUAGCAGUAAACGUGUAUAUCGAGACCUUUGUGUUGGUGACAAUGUAUAUAUGUAAAUACCAGUAUGGACUGUCGAAACUGUCGAUCCGUAACAGACAACCUAUCUACAGGGACCGUCAGAAAUGAAGGAAAAAGGCACUCCUGUUGAAAGAUUAGAAGAAGUGGUUCCGCAUGUUCAAACCGACAGUGAAGUCAUGUG
Molecule: long non-coding RNA, 425 nt
Filed under: Mytilus galloprovincialis (Mediterranean mussel)
Lineage: Eukaryota; Metazoa; Mollusca; Bivalvia; Mytilida; Mytilidae
Source: RNAcentral